GUUGACCUCGAAUCAGGUAGG
Molecule: ribosomal RNA, 21 nt
Filed under: Purpureocillium lilacinum
Lineage: Eukaryota; Fungi; Ascomycota; Sordariomycetes; Hypocreales; Ophiocordycipitaceae
Also listed under: 10 other names
Description: partial 28S ribosomal RNA
Source: RNAcentral